GUGUCAGCCGCCGCGGUAAAACGUAGGAGACGAGCGUUAUCCGGAUUUACUGGGCGUAAAGCGUGUGCAGGCGGUUCGGCAAGUUGGAUGUGAAAUCUCCCGGCUCAACUGGGAGGGGUCGUUCAAUACUACCGAACUUGAGGUCAUCAGAGGAAGAUGGAAUUCCCGGUGUAGUGGUGAAAUGCGUAGAUAUCGGGAGGAACACCAGUGGCGAAGGCGGUCUUCUGGGAUGAUCCUGACGCUCAGACACGAAAGCUAGGGGAGCGAACGGGAUUAGAUACCCCCGUAGUCC
RNAcentral lists this ribosomal RNA (292 nucleotides) under uncultured bacterium. RNAcentral describes it as "partial 16S ribosomal RNA". It matches the Rfam family "Bacterial small subunit ribosomal RNA", at positions 505 to 796 of the family's 1533-position model. The record is from RNAcentral.